UGAGGAAUUUUCCGCAAUGGGCGAAAGCCUGACGGAGCAAUACCGCGUGAAGGAAGACGGUUCGUGGAUCUUAAACUUCUUUUCUCAAGGAAGAACCCGUGACGGUACUUGAGGAAUAAGCACCGGCUAACUCUGUGCCAGCAGCCGCGGUAAUACAGAGGGUGCAAGCAUUGUCCGGAAUGAUUGGGCGUAAAGCGUCUGUAGGUGGUUUUUAAAGUCUACUGUCAAAUCCCAGAGCUCAACUUUGGACAGGCAUUAGAGAACUUAAAAGCUAGAGUAUGGUAGGGGUCGAGGGAAUUCCUUGUGGAGCGGUGAAAUGCACAGAGAUAAGGAAGAACACCAGUGGCGAAGGCGCUCGACUGGGCCAUGACUGACACUGAGAGACGAUAGCUGGGGGAGCGAAUAGG
RNAcentral lists this ribosomal RNA (407 nucleotides) under uncultured bacterium. Its description in RNAcentral is "bacterial SSU rRNA". It matches the Rfam family "Bacterial small subunit ribosomal RNA", at positions 355 to 776 of the family's 1533-position model. The record is from RNAcentral.